Molecule: ribosomal RNA, 492 nt
Filed under: uncultured bacterium
Lineage: Bacteria
Description: partial 16S ribosomal RNA
Rfam family: Bacterial small subunit ribosomal RNA
Source: RNAcentral
AGUGAACGCUGGCGGUAGGCCUAACACAUGCAAGUCGAACGGCAGCACAGUAAGAGCUUGCUCUUACGGGUGGCGAGUGGCGGACGGGUGAGGAAUACAUCGGAAUCUACUUUUUCGUGGGGGAUAACGUAGGGAAACUUACGCUAAUACCGCAUACGACCUACGGGUGAAAGCAGGGGAUCUUCGGACCUUGCGCGAUUGACUGAGCCGAUGUCGGAUUAGCUAGUUGGCGGGGUAAAGGCCCACCAAGGCGACGAUCCGUAGCUGGUCUGAGAGGAUGAUCAGCCACACGGGAACGGAGACACGGUGCAGACUCCUACGGGAGGCAGCAGUGGGGAAUAUUGGACAAUGGGCGCAAGCCUGAUCCAGCCAUACCGCGUGGGUGAAGAAGGCCUUCGGGUUGUAAAGCCGUUUUGUUGGGAAAGAAAAGCAGCAGGUUAAUACCCCGCUGUUCUGACGGUACCCAAAGAAUAAGCACCGGCUAACUUCGUG